GUUAAGUGACUAAGCGUAUACGGUGGAUGCCUAGGCAGUUAGAGGCGAUGAAGGACGUGUAAGUCUGCGAAAAGCUGUGGUGAGUUGACAAAACGCAUUUAGCCACAGAUGUCCGAAUGGGGAAACCCAGUGCAUUUAUGCACUAUCUGCAACUGAAUACAUAGGUUGUAGAGGCAAACGAGGGGAACUGAAACAUCUAAGUACCCUUAGGAAAAGAAAUCAACCGAGAUUUCCCUAGUAGCGGCGAGCGAACGGGAAUUAGCCCUUAAGCUAAUUGUAAGCCAGUGGAAUGUGUUGGAAAGCACAACGGUACAAGGUGAUAGUCCUGUACACAAAGGCGAACUUUAAGUGAAAUCGAGUAGGUCGGGACACGUGUUAUCUUGACUGAAUAUGGGGGGACCAUCCUCCAAGGCUAAAUACUCCUAACUGACCGAUAGUGAACCAGUACCGUGAGGGAAAGGCGAAAAGAACCCCUGUGAGGGGAGUGAAAUAGAACCUGAAACCGUAUACGUACAAGCAGUGGGAGCAGACUUGUUCUGUGACUGCGUACCUUUUGUAUAAUGGGUCAGCGACUUAUAUUUUGUAGCGAGGUUAACCGAAUAGGGGAGCCGUAGUGAAAGCGAGCGUUAACUGCGCGUCUAGUUGCAAGGUAUAGACCCGAAACCCGGUGAUCUAGCCAUGGGCAGGUUGAAGGUUGAGUAACAUCAACUGGAGGACCGAACCCACUGACGUUGAAAAGUCAGGGGAUGACCUGUGGCUGGGGGUGAAAGGCCAAUCAAACCGGGAGAUAGCUGGUUCUCCCCGAAAGCUAUUUAGGUAGCGCCUCGGACGAACACCAUGGGGGGUAGAGCACUGUUAAGGCUAGGGGGUCAUCCCGACUUACCAACCCUUUGCAAACUCCGAAUACCCAUGAGUGCUAUCCGGGAGACACACGGCGGGUGCUAACGUCCGUCGUGAAGAGGGAAACAACCCAGACCGCCAGCUAAGGUCCCAAAAUAUUGCUAAGUGGGAAACGAUGUGGGAAGGCUAAGACAGCUAGGAGGUUGGCUUAGAAGCAGCCACCCUUUAAAGAAAGCGUAAUAGCUCACUAGUCGAGUCGGCCUGCGCGGAAGAUGUAACGGGGCUAAGCAAUAUACCGAAGCUGCGGAUACGUGUUUACACGUAUGGUAGGGGAGCGUUGUGUAAGUGGUUGAAGGUGAGCUGUGAGGCUUGCUGGACAUAUCACAAGUGCGAAUGCUGACAUGAGUAACGAUAAUGCGGGUGAAAAACCCGCACGCCGGAAGACCAAGGUUUCCUGUCCCAUGCUAAUCAGGGCAGGGUAAGUCGGCCCCUAAGGCGAGGCAGAAAUGCGUAGUCGAUGGGAAACGGAUUAAUAUUUCCGUACUUGGUAUAUCAGUGAAGGGGGGACGGAGAAGGCUAAACAAGCUUGGUGUUGGUUAUCCAAGUGAAAGUGUGUAGGGCGUUGAAUUAGGUAAAUCCGGUUCAACACUAACCUGAGACACGAGACGAGUUUCUAAGGAAACGAAGUUGUUGAUGCCAUGCUUCCAGGAAAAGCCUCUAAACUUAUGAUAUAUCGAACCGUACCCCAAACCGACACAGGUGGUCAGGUAGAGAAUACUAAGGCGCUUGAGAGAACUCGGGUGAAGGAACUCGGCAAAAUUGUACCGUAACUUCGGGAGAAGGUACGCUGCUGUUUGUGAUGGGAUUUACUCCCUAAGCGAAUGGCAGCCGCAGUGACCAGGUGGCUGGGACUGUUUAUUAAAAACACAGCACUGUGCUAAAUCGAAAGAUGACGUAUACGGUGUGACACCUGCCCGGUGCCGGAAGGUUAAUUGAUGGGGUUAGCGUAAGCGAAGCUCUUGAUCGAAGCCCCGGUAAACGGCGGCCGUAACAAUAACGGUCCUAAGGUAGCGAAAUUCCUUGUCGGGUAAGUUCCGACCUGCACGAAUGGUGUAACCAUGGCCACGCUGUCUCCACCCGAGACUCAGUGAAAUUGAAAUCGCAGUGAAGAUGCUGUGUACCCGCACCUAGACGGAAAGACCCCGUGAACCUUUACUACAGCUUGGCACUGAACAUUGAACCUACAUGUGUAGGAUAGGUGGGAGGCUUUGAAGCAUAGUCGCUAGAUUGUGUGGAGCCGCCGUUGAAAUACCACCCUUGUAUGUUUGAUGUUCUAACAUUGGUCCCUAAUCGGGAUUGUGGACAGUGUCUGGUGGGUAGUUUGACUGGGGCGGUCUCCUCCCAAAGAGUAACGGAGGAGCACGAAGGUUAGCUAAUCACGGUCGGACAUCGUGAGGUUAGUGCAAUGGCAUAAGCUAGCUUAACUGCGAGACAGACACGUCGAGCAGGUACGAAAGUAGGUCAUAGUGAUCCGGUGGUUCUGUAUGGAAGGGCCAUCGCUCAACGGAUAAAAGGUACUCCGGGGAUAACAGGCUGAUACCGCCCAAGAGUUCAUAUCGACGGCGGUGUUUGGCACCUCGAUGUCGGCUCAUCACAUCCUGGGGCUGAAGUCGGUCCCAAGGGUAUGGCUGUUCGCCAUUUAAAGUGGUACGCGAGCUGGGUUUAGAACGUCGUGAGACAGUUCGGUCCCUAUCUGCCGUGGGUGUAGGAUACUUGAGAGGAGUUGCCCCUAGUACGAGAGGACCGGGGUGAACGAUCCACUGGUGGACCUGUUGUGGCGCCAGCCGCAUUGCAGGGUAGCUAUGUAUGGACGGGAUAACCGCUGAAUGCAUCUAAGCGGGAAACCCACCUCAAAACCAGGUUUCCCUUGAGAGCCGUUCUAGACUAGGACGUCGAUAGGCCAGGUGUGGAAGCGCUGCGAAGCGUG
This 2827-nucleotide ribosomal RNA is filed under the name Mesodinium pulex. Its description in RNAcentral is "partial Bacterial large subunit ribosomal RNA". It matches the Rfam family "Bacterial large subunit ribosomal RNA". The record is from RNAcentral. Lineage: Eukaryota; Ciliophora; Litostomatea; Cyclotrichida; Mesodiniidae.